Molecule: ribosomal RNA, 431 nt
Filed under: uncultured bacterium
Lineage: Bacteria
Description: partial 16S ribosomal RNA
Rfam family: Bacterial small subunit ribosomal RNA
Source: RNAcentral
AACGAACGCUGGCGGCAGGCUUAACACAUGCAAGUCGAGCGCCCCGCAAGGGGAGCGGCAGACGGGUGAGUACCGCGUGGGAACGUACCUUUUGGUUCGGAACAACUCCGGGAAACUGGAGCUAAUACCGGAUAAGCCCUAACGGGGAAAGAUUUAUCGCCGAAAGAUCGGCCCGCGUCUGAUUAGCUAGUUGGUGAGGUAACGGCUCACCAAGGCGACGAUCAGUAGCUGGCCUGAGAGGAUGAUCAGCCACACUGGGACUGAGACACGGCCCAGACUCCUACGGGAGGCAGCAGUGGGGAAUAUUGGACAAUGGGCGCAAGCCUGAUCCAGCCAUGCCGCGUGAGUGAUGAAGGCCUUAGGGUUGUAAAGCUCUUUUGUCCGGGAAGAUAAUGACUGUACCGGAAGAAUAAGCCCCGGCUAACUUCGUG